GACGAACGCUGGCGGCGUGCUUAACACAUGCAAGUCGAACGGAAAGGCCCUGCUUUUGUGGGGUGCUCGAGUGGCGAACGGGUGAGUAACACGUGAGUAACCUGCCCUUGACUUUGGGAUAACUUCAGGAAACUGGGGCUAAUACCGGAUAGGAGCUCCUGCUGCAUGGUGGGGGUUGGAAAGUUUCGGCGGUUGGGGAUGGACUCGCGGCUUAUCAGCUUGUUGGUGGGGUAGUGGCUUACCAAGGCUUUGACGGGUAGCCGGCCUGAGAGGGUGACCGGCCACAUUGGGACUGAGAUACGGCCCAGACUCCUACGGGAGGCAGCAGUGGGGAAUAUUGCACAAUGGGCGGAAGCCUGAUGCAGCAACGCCGCGUGCGGGAUGACGGCCUUCGGGUUGUAAACCGCUUUCGCCUGUGACGAAGCGUGAGUGACGGUAAUGGGUAAAGAAGCACCGGCUAACUACGUGCCAGCAGCCGCGGUGAUACGUAGGGUGCGAGCGUUGUCCGGAUUUAUUGGGCGUAAAGGGCUCGUAGGUGGUUGAUCGCGUCGGAAGUGUAAUCUUGGGGCUUAACCCUGAGCGUGCUUUCGAUACGGGUUGACUUGAGGAAGGUAGGGGAGAAUGGAAUUUCUGGUGGAGCGGUGGAAUGCGCAGAUAUCAGGAGGAACACCAGUGGCGAAGGCGGUUCUCUGGGCCUUUCCUGACGCUGAGGAGCGAAAGCGUGGGGAGCGAACAGGCUUAGAUACCCUGGUAGUCCACGCUGUAAACGGUGGGUACUAGGUGUGGGGUCCAUUCCACGGGUUCCGUGCCGUAGCUAACGCUUUAAGUACCCCGCCUGGGGAGUACGGCCGCAAGGCUAAAACUCAAAGGAAUUGACGGGGCCCCGCACAAGCGGCGGAGCAUGCGGAUUAAUUCGAUGCAACGCGUAGAACCUUACCUGGGUUUGACAUGGAUCGGGAGCGCUCAGAGAUGGGUGUGCCUCUUUUGGGGUCGGUUCACAGGUGGUGCAUGGCUGUCGUCAGCUCGUGUCGUGAGAUGUUGGGUUAAGUCCCGCAACGAGCGCAACCCUUGUUCACUGUUGCCAGCACGUUAUGGUGGGGACUCAGUGGAGACCGCCGGGGUCAACUCGGAGGAAGGUGGGGAUGACGUCAAGUCAUCAUGCCCCUUAUGUCCAGGGCUUCACGCAUGCUACAAUGGCUGGUACAGAGAGUGGCGAGCCUGUGAGGGUGAGCGAAUCUCGGAAAGCCGGUCUCAGUUCGGAUUGGGGUCUGCAACUCGACCUCAUGAAGUCGGAGUCGCUAGUAAUCGCAGAUCAGCAACGCUGCGGUGAAUACGUUCCCGGGGCU
This 1346-nucleotide ribosomal RNA is filed under the name uncultured bacterium. RNAcentral describes it as "bacterial SSU rRNA". It matches the Rfam family "Bacterial small subunit ribosomal RNA", at positions 28 to 1381 of the family's 1533-position model. The record is from RNAcentral.